This is a long non-coding RNA of Manis javanica (Malayan pangolin), 1282 nucleotides long. RefSeq lists it as uncharacterized. The record is from RefSeq and is a predicted model, not a curated record. NCBI's taxonomy places the organism in Eukaryota, Metazoa, Chordata, Mammalia, Pholidota, Manidae.
GAGACCCGGCUUCCCGCCACUUGGGACCUAACGAGGAGGGGUCACCCUCCGAGGCUGGGGGCGCCCUGCGGCCCCUCGAGUGCGCACGCAGCCUGAACCGCCCCAGCCCCGCUACAACUAAAGCCCAUUAAGACGCCUCCCUGGACGGGCAAUAACCCAGAGCGAGAUCCCCGAGCGGCUGAAACUGCCCGGCCCCCCAAACCAGGCGCAGACCUCCGAGGAACGGGUAGGGGCUUCUCGGGCCCCCUUUCACCGGCGCACCUGAGUCCCUGGCCUACCUGCGCGGCUCGCUCGCCCUUUGCAAAAAUCAAACUUGCUAAACCAAACUGGGCUUCCCUCGUCAAGCUCUUUAACCAACUCUUUUUUUUGGCAAAUGACAAUCACUUUACCGUUAAUCUUUGUAAAGACCAAUUGAAGAAUAGGGUAUGCGGUGUGACUAGAAAAUAGUAUUGUUUUCACGUGUAGUCUGAAGUAGUCACUCAUUCAUUUGAAAUUAACUCUCGCAAUGUAGUACUUAAAGUACUCUAAAUGCAAAUUUUGGCAACACAGCCACUGGGCUUCCUCUGGUGACAGAGUUGGACAGAGCAUGGACUUGGGCCUCACUUAGAGGCUCCUGCUUCAAUACCGUGGCUCAGAACAUGUGACGUGACCUGGCUAAUUCCGUAAACAAGAAGCAAGGAAGGAUUUCAAAUUAGCCUAUCUGGGCAAAAGAUGUGAUGAAUGUGACUGCCUGUUUUGCAAAAAACUGAAACCCUACAAAGAUUCUAGUACCACCCUGGAGCAGAAAUCCUAGGCCCAGAGCAGAGGGCUGUCCUCAGAAUCCACAUUGUUUCUGGAAUAACAUGGGUUUUUCUCAGAAGAAAUAUCCCACCCGUGUGUGGGGGUCCUCCAACUGAAAUGGGGUGUUUCGUCAGCCUGUGUUCCCCCGAAUGCCUGGAGUAUGCCAGUGCCACCGGUUCUGAGAGGAAGGUGAGCAAGAGGAAUUUGGGGUGGAAAGAGGUAACAGUCAUAGUCUUAAUCAGUUGUAGCCCCAACAACCUACAAAUGCCUGUGACGGUGUGGAUGUAUAGCUUAGGACCCCUGCCAGGGGCUUGGAAUGGCUCAUGCAUGGAGGAUCCCUGAAGCUCAAGCUGCACGACCUUUAAGUGUAUCUACCUCUGCUGCUGUCUUCAGCCUCGACCUCCUCCACACUCCAGCUUCCCUGUUUCACCUACCAUGCGGCUUCAGUCUCCUGAAGCGACCAAGACUGCGGCGCUUGGCCAGCCAGCACCCUCGUCCGGCC